RNAcentral lists this long non-coding RNA (1442 nucleotides) under Heterocephalus glaber (naked mole-rat). RNAcentral's name for it is "lncRNA (ENSHGLG00000043928.1)". Lineage: Eukaryota; Metazoa; Chordata; Mammalia; Rodentia; Bathyergidae. The record is from RNAcentral.
CUCAAAAAUGAGAUCCUCCUACUCGGCCUCCACAGCAGCUGGGAUUACAGGCACAUGGUGUCAUUCCUGGCUAUUGUUAUUUUUAAAAUUUGUUGCUGGCCUGCGCAAGUGCAAGGACCUGAGUUCGAUCCUCAGUACCAAAAAAAAAAAAAAAAAAUUUCUUGCUGGGGCCUCGUGCAUGCUCUGCCACUGAGCUAUGUCCCAGCCAAAGUGUUACCUUUGGAGGGGAAGGAGGAGCUUGAACCUACAGAAGGCCCUGCAGACGGCUGCUAGAACAUCAGCAGUCCCCUAUUCUCAUCCUGGGUGGCGAGUAUACAGGCGAUAUUUUCCCAUAGUUCUUCAAAUGGUAUUUAUGUUCUGUGUAUCUUUCUGAAUGUGUGUUUUAUUCAACUAAACUAUGUGAUAUUGCCACUAUUCAAUCCUGUUAAUCUACAAAAUAGUGAUUUAUAUGAUUCAACUUGAUGUUCCACAAUAAAAAAAAAUAAUUUACAUCAAGUUGAGAAACCAUUCAACAUGAUGGUUGUGAGGGCUAUCAAAAGCUUCAUUCUCCAGUUAUUCAUUAUUCAUUCACUAUUCAUUCAUGUUUCCGGGGAGGUUAUUCUGAAGCAGGCAGAUUUCUAGGCACUGGGAUACAGUGGGAAUUCUGUCCUGGGGCUUGCCAUCACACGGGAAAAGUGAUCAAACCACAAACACGGAACCAUCUAGCAUGUCAUAUUGUGAUAUGUGGAAAGCAAAACAAGUAGAGGAAGGGAACAGGGAGGAGGAGACAUUUUAGGAAGGGGAGUCAGAAAAACCAGGAGGAGGUGGCGCCUGAAAACACCACGGGAUGGAGGGCGAGAGGGAACGGCUGCAGUGUCGGGGAGCUCAGCAGAGGCCCCGGGGACAGGCCCGGCUGGACUGAGGGCCAAGGAGCCUGGUGUUGCUGAAACACAGCGAGGGAAGGAGAGGAUGGGAGACUUGAGAAGGGAGGAGGCAGCAGGGACAGUCAGACGGUUCGAACUUGAGACCUUCUGCUUGCGCGGCAGGCACCAGAACCACUGACAUAAAUCCCUGGCCCCAGAUAGGAUUUGUUGACGGACUGCAUGUAAGCUAAGAGGAAGAGGAGUCAAUAAUGUGUACAAUACUAAAAAAAAUAGAAGACAACCGUGUACAAGAGCAUUCUGCUCACCCGUGUGUGGUGCUCUAGCUGCCACUGGACCACGGUGAAAGAAGAUGAGGUGGGAAUCCCUUGGAGGAAAAAGAACUCUCACCGUCAAAGGAAAUUCUGCAAGGAGCUUUACACUCUCAGAGCCAAGGAGGGAUGUAAACGCUCACACCAGACCUGGGAAACACCUCAUCUGCAACUCCCUGGCACAGAUUGAUGCGACAGCCAAGUGAGCAAUGGAUGGAAUGAUAGUUUAUUAGCCGUUAGUCACUCUCCAAAAUAAAAGUUUAUUCUGAAC